AGCAGCAACGAGUGUGCAGAAGGAAUCAGAUAAGCAUCUGCUUCACAGGGUGCCAAAGAGUUAUACAGCAGAGAAGAAAUGUACCAGCCCAGAAAGGGUCUGCAUGGAAGGGAAACGGGAAAUCACCCUCAUCAAGUCAAGUGAUGGUCCAAGUUUCAAGUGAUCCUGAUAUCAUUGUGGUCCUCUCAACCUACAAAGAGAACCUGUAAAGACUUCUCUGAUGAUCAGGGAACUUUCAAGAGGAAACAAAAUGCAAAUACUUGCUGUGUUUCAUGCACACAUAUGUACACCUGUAUGUACAAACAGAGGAACAACAUUGGGAAGAAAGAGGAAACCUGGACCCGUCACCUGAAAGUUGUUCUUAGCACUGUCUCAGGGCAGGAGGCCACUUCAUUAUAAUAAGAAACAUUAUUGAACAUAUGGGAAUCAUGCAAAAAGGAGAGUCAUGUUUCUGGCCCACUCGCUUAUCUCACUUACAGAAUUGAAGUAAGGACAUCUGGCCUCAUUAGAGGAAGUGAUGGGAGGAAUGGAUCUUGGAUAAGCAAUGUAGAGCUCUCUGAAUCGCAGAACAAAGCCAAGUUCUAAAAAUGAGAAAUAACCAUAGCCAUCAAAAGUCAAUUGGAAAAAAAAAGUUUCUGAAAACCAGCAACAGAUGGACUAAUCCAAGCUGCUCAGAACAGACGGCAUAUCAAACUCCCCGCGUGAGGCACGGGGCUCUCCUGCUGAGUGCUGCACCGCAGAAAAAUGGACUCACACCCACCUCAGAACCAGCACUCACAGAACUUUAAACAAUCAGCCUCUCCAUUAGCCCCAUUAGCAACCACAGUUGGAAAGAUGUGUCCUUACUGGAUCCUUGGGGGCUCCAAGGUCCCCCAAUUGCCAGACACCAGAUUACAUCGCAAGGAGCAAAGUCCACAGACAUGCACAAAUGAGCAGUGGAGGAGCAAGAUUAAACACAUGUUUUAUAAAAAGAAAUAUUUUUCUCAUAUAAAAUUAGACUGUGUUCUUCUGUUAACAAAAUAAGAAGAAGAAGAAGGAGGAGGAGGUGGAGGAGGAGACAAAAGAGGAAGAAAGGCUUGCUUUGCUGAGGUGUGCUCACUUUUCAGGGAACUGCUGGUUGAUUUAUUUAUCUACUACAACUCUACCAAGUAAGGAGGCUGAGUUGUACUUGGAAGACUACUUCACACACCCUGGUUCAGAGCCCUUCAUUCAUUAUCUGAACCUGGGUGGAAGAAACCUCCAUGAGCAUCCAGUAGAAACCUUUGGUGCCUGAGUACAGAGAACCUAGACCUCUUCGUUGUGCAGAAAGAAGUGGACAUGGGAUCACAGGACAUGAAGAUGAGGCUUUGAAAGGUGGAGAUAGGGAGACAGCCAUAAAAGGACCUGACGAGUUCCACUCAGGAAAGCAACCCUGGAUUAUUAG
Molecule: long non-coding RNA, 1423 nt
Organism: Myotis myotis
Lineage: Eukaryota; Metazoa; Chordata; Mammalia; Chiroptera; Vespertilionidae
Exons: 7
Source: RefSeq, a predicted model, not a curated record